RNAcentral lists this ribosomal RNA (466 nucleotides) under uncultured bacterium. RNAcentral describes it as "bacterial SSU rRNA". It matches the Rfam family "Bacterial small subunit ribosomal RNA", at positions 39 to 507 of the family's 1533-position model. The record is from RNAcentral.
GCGGCAGGCUUAACACAUGCAAGUCGAGGGGUAUAGUUCUUCGGAAUUAGAGACCGGCGCACGGGUGCGUAACGCGUAUGCAAUCUACCUUUCACAGAGGGAUAGCCAGAGAAAUUUGGAUUAAUACCUCAUAGUAUAGCAGUUUCGCAUGAAACCACUAUUAAAGUCACAACGGUGAAAGAUGAGCAUGCGUCCCAUUAGCUAGUUGGUAAGGUAACGGCUUACCAAGGCAACGAUGGGUAGGGGUCCUGAGAGGGAGAUCCCCCACACUGGUACUGAGACACGGACCAGACUCCUACGGGAGGCAGCAGUGAGGAAUAUUGGACAAUGGGCGCAAGCCUGAUCCAGCCAUGCCGCGUGCAGGAUGACGGUCCUAUGGAUUGUAAACUGCUUUUAUACAGGAAGAAACACUACUUCGUGAAGUAGCUUGACGGUACUGUAAGAAUAAGGAUCGGCUAACUCCGUG